UGGGACAAGGGUGCUGAGCUCCUUGUAAAAUCAGCCCCCAUGUGAGCAUGUUCUCAAGGCAUGUACAGUAGCUGGGGAACUGGGUGCUCGUGCACUAACACAGCUCUGCUAUUUGCAGGGGAUGGUGUUAAUUCAGAGAUCUGUCCUUCAAAGCAAGGGAAUGAUGAGGUUGUGCUAAGAUGGAAGAAGGAACCAGAUGAGGGAAGAUUAACCUUUCGCUGUCCACAAUUCUUUCCCUCUUAUCGUGGAGGAUUCGGUAACCCACCCCCCUCCAAUCCAGCCUAUCUGUCUGAAUUGCUGAAAGCAUAAUGCUCACAUAUGAGAGAUAAAAAGUGCCCACUGGUCCUGCUCUGUUUGCCAUCAAGAAUGAGCUGCCGGGACUAGGAAUGUUUCCCAGACGGGAGGUGAGGAGCCAUCUGAAUGUAGCAGCAAAGCAUGAGCUCCUGAAGGAGAAAAAGAUAAAAGAAAAAAAGAAAGAAAGAAGCAGAGCAACACAGUUCUUCAUUUCUUCUAAGUGCAAAACCAGUAGUUUGAAGGCCAGCUCAAGGCACUAAUGAUCCCUCCUGUGGCCAGCGAGGGUCCCCCUCCAGCGAUGUGUUUCUCAGAUAGAUGUGUAGGAUGAAAUAAGACGCUGGUGCUAGGACCUAGAGGCAUCUUGUCCAAUCUGUUUCGUUGCUUGUGUUUGUCGCCGGUUCAGUCUCUGAGAGGUUCAGGGACAAUAUUUGCAGCCAGAACCAUCAGGCUUUGUCAUUAACAGCUCCCCACAAAAUCCACACCAGCCCGCGUGACCUGGAACUCGUUUCUGGCAGCGAUACCUCCCAACCCUUGAAGAUGGCAAGGCAGACAAAAUGGUCCAGACUCAGGAUAAGAAGCAGCAGAUGCUGACACGUACUGAUGUGCAAAAAGUCCUCUAUCUGAGCUGAGUACAUUUCUAACUUUGCUCUAAUAACCAUCACCUGAUUCAUGUCAGACCAGUAACAUUUAAAUCAAGUUUUUUGUGCCAUUUAGGCAGAUAUUCUGUAAAUACAGGGAGAAUAGGUCAUUUCUGGAAUGAAGGGGAAUGGCUGCCUCCCUUAUAUGUAUCAGUGACUGCGUAGUAUGUAUGAGAAAAUUAAAGAGGAUCCCCUGAGCAGAUCUUGCAUGGAGGCUCAGUGACCUUUCCUCUCUCAGGAGGGUGGUCUCUUCAGUGGGAUAUGUUUGAAAUACAGCAACAUUGUAGUGAGAAUGUGGAAUUUAACUUGAUGCACGAGGGUGGAGCCGUGAGAGCUAAUGAAGGAGCUGUAUCUAGCGAAGAUAAAGUCCCAAUCACCAGUAAGAGAUGACUGUAAAACAUGCACAAUUCCCCAUCCUUAAAACUCUCCCUAAUUGCAAAUCUGCUCAUUGUUUUAACUUAUCUCUGCCAGCGCUGUGCUGAAUUAGUCCUUUGGAGUCCCUGAAUGGGAUCAAGGGAAGAGAAGAGGAAAGGAAGGAUGGGAAUGAGAACGAAUAAGAAACACAAGAAAGCAAGAUAGCCAGAGAAAAGGAAAGGGGGGGGGGGAACUUAAGCAUAAUUGCCCUUUGGCUUCCUAUGAAAUUGUAAAAGCUUUUCAACACCCUUGCUGAACCAGCAAUGAGAACAUUUUCCACAUCCCUGCUGCCUGCGAGAUGUCUGGCCUGGUGCUGUGGGGGAAAGGAAAGAAGUGGCUCAGCAAGAAUUCACCUCCCGUAGUCAGAUGCUUUUCCAGUGUGUGUCUUACCCAGAAACUGGCCCCUGCAAAACGCACUUGCCACCCGAUUCCAUGCUUGUCUCCCUCACUAGGUCCGUCUGCCCACCCUCCCGGCUUCCCGUCCGCAGGGUGAGGUAUUCAGCACCUCGGUAAUCACCCCCAUCUUUGGCCAGUUCAUAAAUGUAGUGGCCCAGCUAUUCUCAGUAACAAGUGAUCUAUGGGAGUUUACUCUGAACUGAGCUGCAGCCUGAUACCUGGAGUAUUCCUAUUUUUACAUCUUUAUCACCUCGCAAAUUUAUAAUCUAGAACAGAACGGUACCUGUCACCCUGCAGUUUCCUAGAUUUCUUAUCAAAAGAUUUUGCUAUCAAAACUCUUUCAGAAUAUAAACAAGCUGCUUCUGGCCCUGUGUGGGUUUAUGGGGCACAGAAAGCCCCGGUUGACCUGAAGCUGAUCUGUUCUGAAGGAAAACAUCACGGGCCAUCACCUGAGGAAGCCUGGACCAAGACUGGUGCAUGUGUAGCAAUAAUAUCACUGCCUUGUUCUCCUGUGGUGAUGUUAUGGGCCCCAGUCUCAAGGGACAAACCCAGGAUCAGAAAGGGGAUCUCCUGAAUCAAAGCCGUGAGUUGCUAUAGCUUGAUCAAGGGCUAGAACUAGGGGUGGAAGAAACUCAUUUUUUUCGUAAACUCUGCAAACAGAGCAGGACCUCUAGCAAAUGUUGAUCAGUGGUUUACCAUAUCCCUAAGACAUGGGCAUAAGGGGAUGCUGCUAUUAAGUGAGAGUAAUGACAGCAAAUGUUCCCUCCGCAGCAACGUUGGCUUCCAGCGCCUCCGUAAUCCUGCCCAGCCCUGCAUGGUGUCCACUGCCCUGCAGCUGUGCUGGUGCGACUGCUUCCAGGGCUGAAGUGUAAACUCUGUCUCUGCAAUGGUCUGGGUUAGAGACGAUGCAGUAAUGGUCUGCUUUACGGUUGUGGAGAAUUGUAUUGGCAUGCCCAAGGGGAUGCUGAACUGCAGCGCAGGAGCAGGAGGGAACAGCCGCAGUGGGGGGAGGAAGGACCCUUUCUCAGCGGUCUCGCUGCUGAAGCCAGCGCGUCGCAUCCCAUACAGCCUUAGAGGAUAAAUUGUCAUAUAUUCUGAAUCGAGCGCUUAUUGUGUCCGAGGUUGUGCUCCAGAGUGCAUAUUUAAGCUAAGCGUCUGCCAAAUGUCUACUGACAUAGGCUUAAGUUUCCCUUUCACUGUGCUUUGUUGAGUAGGAGUGGACUCGAGUAGAAAUUUUGUGUUAUGUCAAAUUGGAACAAAAUGAAAACCACCUGACGCCCUGGUCUCUUCAGGCAUCUUCUAGGUAUGACAUUUGGGUAUGGCUGCCCAACCCUAAAUGUUGUGAGUAUAACUCAGUCUUUCUUCUUACAGUGCCUUUGGGUUGAAGAAAGUAUUUUAAUAUCCAUGCACCUCUAAUAAACUAAAGCUGUAACGA
This is a long non-coding RNA of Dromaius novaehollandiae (emu), 3177 nucleotides long. RefSeq lists it as uncharacterized. The record is from RefSeq and is a predicted model, not a curated record. The transcript is spliced from 9 exons. Lineage: Eukaryota; Metazoa; Chordata; Aves; Casuariiformes; Dromaiidae.